Molecule: non-coding RNA, 82 nt
Organism: Nerophis lumbriciformis (worm pipefish)
Lineage: Eukaryota; Metazoa; Chordata; Actinopteri; Syngnathiformes; Syngnathidae
Source: the annotation of a RefSeq genome assembly
GAUGAGGUGACCGAGUGGUUAAGGUGAUGGAUUGAUAAUCUGUUGUGUUCUACACGCAUUGGUUCAAAUCCCAUCCUCAUCG